CAGAAGUCAGGUCGGAUUAAGCCAUAGUACGGAAAAAACUAUGCUACCUGUGAGCCCCGUCCAAGGACGUUAAACGAAGUCAGGCCAUCACAAGUGCCAUAGCUUGAGUAAACUAUGCAGCCUGUAGCUCCACCUGAGAAGGUGUAAAAAAUCUGGGAGGCCACAAACCAUGGAAGCUGUACGCAUGGCGUAGUGGACUAGCGGUUAGAGGAGACCCCUCCCUUACAAAUCGCAGCAACAAUGGGGG
This 247-nucleotide long non-coding RNA is filed under the name dengue virus type 2. RNAcentral describes it as "Dengue virus type 2 partial sfRNA1". The stretch from base 156 to 227 matches the Rfam family "Flavivirus DB element". The record is from RNAcentral. Lineage: Riboviria; Orthornavirae; Kitrinoviricota; Flasuviricetes; Amarillovirales; Flaviviridae.